AAAUUUAUUUUCCUAUAGGAAAAAGGAGGGACUGAAUUGUGAAUCCAUUUUCUCUGCUUUCAGUUAUUUCUACUCCUGAGAAAAACCCUAAGCACUUAGGGUCUAGAACCACAUCCCGAGACGGUACGUGAAGCAGUUAUCCUGGUGCCGGUGCCUGGUACGUAUCAAGGGCACCAGAACAUUAGCUAUUUAACCUUAAGGUUUCA
This 206-nucleotide long non-coding RNA is filed under the name Homo sapiens (human). Its description in RNAcentral is "HSALNT0181024". The record is from RNAcentral. Lineage: Eukaryota; Metazoa; Chordata; Mammalia; Primates; Hominidae.